GAUGAACGCUGGCGGCAGGCCUAACACAUGCAAGUCGAGCGAGCGGCGGACGGGUGAGCAAUGUCUGGGCAACUGCCUGAUGGAGGGGGAUAACUACUGGAAACGGUAGCUAAUACCGCAUACCAUCAGAUGUGCCCAGAUGGGAGUAGCUAGUAGGAGGGGUAACGGCUGACCUAGGCGACGAUCCCUAGCUGGUCUGAGAGGAUGACCAGCCACACUGGAACUGAGACACGGUCCAGACUCCUACGGGAGGCAGCAGUGGGGAAUAUUGCACAAUGGGCGCAAGCCUGAUGCAGCCAUGCCGCGUGUGUGAAGAAGGCCUGCGGGUUGUAAAGUACUUUCAGCGGGGAGGCGUUACCAGCAGAAGAAGCACCGGCUAACUCCGUGCCAGCAGCCGCGGUAAUUC
RNAcentral lists this ribosomal RNA (406 nucleotides) under uncultured bacterium. RNAcentral describes it as "partial 16S ribosomal RNA". It matches the Rfam family "Bacterial small subunit ribosomal RNA", at positions 28 to 526 of the family's 1533-position model. The record is from RNAcentral.